GGGGCCAUCUUAAGUCACCAUGGUCUCGCAGGAAAAGAAAACACGCCCUUACUCCUCGGCAAUGGGGGAGAUUGUUUACACCAGAAGGGAAACUCCAUGAUGGUGGAGUUAAAUUUUUGAAAAAAGUUCGGAGUGGAGGUGUAGAUCCGAGUAUUAGAGCAGAGGUUUGGCCACUGGCCGUUCCUCCUUGGAGUGUAUGAGUUGAACAGUUCUAAAGAAGAAA
Molecule: unclassified non-coding RNA, 223 nt
Filed under: Hevea brasiliensis (rubber tree)
Lineage: Eukaryota; Viridiplantae; Streptophyta; Magnoliopsida; Malpighiales; Euphorbiaceae
Source: RNAcentral